GGGCCCAUAGCUCAACGGUAGAGCAGUUCCCUUUUAAGGAAUUGGUUCAGAGUUCGAAUCUCUGUGGGCUCA
Molecule: transfer RNA, 72 nt
Filed under: Candidatus Woesebacteria bacterium
Lineage: Bacteria; Candidatus Woeseibacteriota
Description: tRNA-Lys
Rfam family: tRNA
About the family: Transfer RNA (tRNA) molecules are approximately 80 nucleotides in length. Their secondary structure includes four short double-helical elements and three loops (D, anti-codon, and T loops).
Source: RNAcentral